UACGGAGGGUGCGAGCGUUGUCCGGAAUUAUUGGGCGUAAAGAGCUCGUAGGCGGUCUGUCGCGUCGGUCGUGAAAACUUGGGGCUUAACCCUGAGCUUGCGGUCGAUACGGGCAUGACUGGAGUUCGGUAGGGGAGACUGGAAUUCCUGGUGUAGCGGUGAAAUGCGCAGAUAUCAGGAGGAACACCGGUGGCGAAGGCGGGUCUCUGGGCCGAUACUGACGCUGAGACGCGAAAGCGUGGGGAGCGAACAGG
Molecule: ribosomal RNA, 254 nt
Filed under: uncultured bacterium
Lineage: Bacteria
Description: partial 16S ribosomal RNA
Rfam family: Bacterial small subunit ribosomal RNA
Source: RNAcentral